This 1924-nucleotide unclassified non-coding RNA is filed under the name Hevea brasiliensis (rubber tree). Lineage: Eukaryota; Viridiplantae; Streptophyta; Magnoliopsida; Malpighiales; Euphorbiaceae. The record is from RNAcentral.
AAAAUUUUCCCGCAUGCAUAAUUUAAAACUAAAUUCCAUGAUGGAAAAUAUACAUGGGAAGAGGGAACGGGAGACACAAACACAAAGCAGAACCACAGCCAUACAAUGAAUAUGAGGCUAUCCAUAAUCUCAUCCUUGCUUAUUUCAUUUUCUUCCUGUCAUCUCUCUAAAAUACCCACCACUUGCUUAAACUUACUUCCUCUACUCCACACUGCUGAUUGCUUGCUAUAAUUUUAGCUUCAGCAAAAAUAUUUCUGGUUUCUGUGUAUCCAUUAUGGCUUCGGCUACUCUCGCUGUAGCCAAACCAUCCCUUCAGGGAAAUGGAAAGGGAUUCCAAGAAUUCUCAGGCCUCCGCAACUCAGCAGCUUUCCUUCCCUUUGCCAAGAAAACUUCUGAUGACUUCCUCUCAGUCGUUGCUUUCAAGACUUCUACUGUGGGAAGCAGCAAUGGGGGAUACAGGAAAACUGCAGCUGAGGCAAAGCUAAAAGUGGCCAUAAAUGGAUUUGGUAGGAUUGGCAGGAACUUCUUGAGGUGCUGGCAUGGGCGCAAGGAUUCUCCUCUGGAUGUCAUCGCCAUCAACGACACUGGUGGUGUCAAGCAGGCCUCUCAUCUCCUCAAGUACGACUCUACCCUUGGUAUCUUCGAAGCUGAUGUUAAGCCUGCUGAGGAUGGCAUCUCUGUCGAUGGCAAGGUCAUCAAGGUUGUUUCCAACCGCAACCCCAUCAACCUUCCCUGGAAGGACUUGGGUAUCGACUUGGUAAUUGAAGGGACUGGAGUUUUCGUGGAUAGGGAAGGUGCUGGCAAGCACAUUCAGGCAGGUGCCAAGAAGGUGCUCAUCACAGCCCCUGGAAAGGGUGACAUCCCAACCUACGUCGUUGGAGUAAAUGCUGAUGCCUACAAUCCUGAUGAGCCUAUUAUAAGCAAUGCUUCUUGCACUACCAACUGCCUUGCUCCCUUUGUCAAGGUUCUUGAUCAGAAGUUUGGUAAUCAAUUCCUCUCUCCUUUAUCCCUUUUCUUAAAAAUUUCGAUGCCAGGGAUUGAAUUCAACCUCCUGUAUGCUGUAUUACCAUUGAAGCAACGAUUACUGAGUUAUUAGCCUGUCAAUCGAAAUAUUGAAAUGAACCACUGAAAAUUGAAUGACAACUUGUGGAUACCUGCAGGCAUCAUCAAGGGAACCAUGACUACCACUCACUCAUACACCGGUGACCAGCGGCUACUGGACGCCAGCCACCGCGACCUCAGAAGGGCAAGAGCUGCUGCCCUAAACAUUGUUCCAACUUCAACCGGUGCAGCAAAGGCAGUCGCCCUUGUCCUUCCAACUCUCAAGGGCAAACUUAACGGCAUAGCCCUGCGUGUACCGACACCAAAUGUAUCAGUUGUUGACCUGGUGGUGCAGGUAUCAAAGAAGACCUUUGCAGAAGAGGUAAAUGCUGCAUUCAGAGACAGUGCAGAGAAGGAGCUGAAGGAUAUCCUGUCAGUGUGUGAUGAGCCUCUUGUUUCAGUGGACUUCAGGUGCACAGAUGUUUCAUCAACUGUGGAUUCAUCCCUGACCAUGGUGAUGGGAGAUGAUAUGGUUAAGGUGAUUGCUUGGUAUGAUAAUGAAUGGGGUUACUCUCAAAGGGUUGUGGAUUUGGCUGACAUUGUUGCCAACAACUGGAAGUAGAAUAUUGUCUAUUCUCCAAAGUAAUUUUCUGAUUUUUGUAACCUCUUGAUGAUCUUCCUUUCUAGUUUCAUCCCAUUUCUAUUUUUGUCAAUAAUGUAAAAUUAUAUGGUGGAAUUGAACCAUUUUCCUCUUUCAGUUUGUGCAAUAAGCGUAAGGAAUUGCAUCAAUUAACCAAAUCAUAUGUUUAUCAUCAUCUGAGACGGUCCAAUUAUCAAUGGAAUUCUUGUAUCUCACAUUUAUUUGGAGGGAAUUCAAAUUAUA